This 497-nucleotide ribosomal RNA is filed under the name uncultured bacterium. RNAcentral describes it as "partial 16S ribosomal RNA". It matches the Rfam family "Bacterial small subunit ribosomal RNA", at positions 28 to 507 of the family's 1533-position model. The record is from RNAcentral.
GAUGAACGCUGGCGGCGUGCCUAAUACAUGCAAGUCAAGCGAACGGACGAGAAGCUUGCUUCUCUGAUGUUAGCGGCGGACGGGUGAGUAACACGUGGAUAACCUACCUAUAAGACUGGGAUAACUUCGGGAAACCGUAGCUAAUACCGGAUAAUAUUUUGAACCGCAUGGUUCAAAAGUGAAAGACGGUCUUGCUGUCACUUAUAGAUGGAUCCGCGCUGCAUUAGCUAGUUGGUAAGGUAACGGCUUACCAAGGCAACGAUGCAUAGCCGACCUGAGAGGGUGAUCGGCCACACUGGAACUGAGACACGGUCCAGACUCCUACGGGAGGCAGCAGUAGGGAAUCUUCCGCAAUGGGCGAAAGCCUGACGGAGCAACGCCGCGUGAGUGAUGAAGGUCUUCGGAUCGUAAAACUCUGUUAUUAGGGAAGAACAUAUGUGUAAGUAACUGUGCACAUCUUGACGUUACCUAAUCAGAAAGCCACGGCUAACUACGUG